CUUGKUCAUUUAGAGGAAGUWAAAGUCGUAACAAGGUUUCCGUAGGUGAAMCUGCGGAAGGGAUCAUUAAAGAAAUUUAAUUGAUUUGUCUGAGCUCGGAGAGAGACAUCUCUGGGGAGGACCAGUGUAGACACUCAGGAGGUUCCUAAAAUAUUUUCUCUGCUGUGAAUGCCAUUUCUCCUGCCUGCGCUUAAGUGCGCGGUUGGUGGGUGUUCUGCAGUGGGGGGAGGGAGCCGACAAAGACCUGGGAGUGUGCGUGGAUCUCUCUAUUCCAAAGGAGGUGUUUUAUCACACGACUCGACACUUUCUAAUUACUACACACAGUGGAGUUUACUUUACUACUAUUCUUUUGUUCGUUGGGGGAAAGCUCUCUUUCGGGAGGGAGUUCUCCCAGUGGAUGCAAACACAAACAAAUAUUUUUUUAAACUAAUUCAGUCAACACAAGAUUUCUUUUAGUAGAAAACAACUUCAAAACUUUCAACAAUGGAUCUCUUGGUUCUCGCAUCGAUGAAGAACGCAGCGAAAUGCGAUACGUAAUGUGAAUUGCAGAAUUCCGUGAAUCAUCGAAUCUUUGAACGCACAUUGCGCCCUCUGGUAUUCCGGGGGGCAUGCCUGUUUGAGCGUCAUUUCUCCCUCAAACCCCCGGGUUUGGUGUUGAGCAAUACGCUAGGUUUGUUUGAAAGWAUUUACGUGGAAWCUUAUUUUAAGCGACUUAKGUUUAUCCMAAAACGCUUAUUUUGCUAGUGGCCACCACGAUUUUAUUUCAUAACUUUGACCUCAAAUCAGGUAGGACUACCCCGCUGARCUUAAGCAUAUCAAUAAGCGGAGGA
RNAcentral lists this ribosomal RNA (830 nucleotides) under uncultured Candida. RNAcentral's name for it is "eukaryotic LSU rRNA". The record is from RNAcentral. Lineage: Eukaryota; Fungi; Ascomycota; Saccharomycetes; Saccharomycetales.